RNAcentral lists this transfer RNA (74 nucleotides) under Salmonella phage NINP13076. It matches the Rfam family "tRNA". From Rfam's summary of the family: Transfer RNA (tRNA) molecules are approximately 80 nucleotides in length. Their secondary structure includes four short double-helical elements and three loops (D, anti-codon, and T loops). Lineage: Duplodnaviria; Heunggongvirae; Uroviricota; Caudoviricetes. The record is from Rfam by way of RNAcentral.
GGCUCUGUAGCUUAGUUGGUAAGAGCAGGCGGCUCAUAACCGCCAGGUCGCAGGUUCAAUCCCUGCCAGAGCCA